AGAGCGAACGCUGGCGGCAGGCCUAACACAUGCAAGUCGAGCGCCCCGCAAGGGGAGCGGCAGACGGGAGAGUAACACGUGGGAACGUACCCUUCAGUUCGGAACAACCCAGGGAAACUUGGGCUAAUACCGAAUACGUCCGUAAGGAGAAAGAUUUAUCGCUGAAGGAUCGGCCCGCGUCUGAUUAGCUAGUUGGUGAGGUAACGGCUCACCAAGGCUACGAUCAGUAGCUGGUCUGAGAGGAUGAUCAGCCUCACUGGGACUGAGACACGGCCCAGACUCCUACGGGAGGCAGCAGUGGGGAAUAUUGGACAAUGGGCGCAAGCCUGAUCCAGCCAUGCCGCGUGGAUGAUGAAGGCCUUAAGGGUUGUAAAGUCCUUUCGACGGGGAAGAUAAUGACGGUACCCGUAGAAGAAGCCCGGCUAACUUCGCGCCAGCAGCCGC
This 444-nucleotide ribosomal RNA is filed under the name uncultured bacterium. RNAcentral's name for it is "SSU rRNA". It matches the Rfam family "Bacterial small subunit ribosomal RNA", at positions 26 to 518 of the family's 1533-position model. The record is from RNAcentral.